AUAAGGUCAGUGAUGAGGAGAGUAUCCAUCUGCGGAACGCCAGCGAGUCAGGGAGGGUGGAAGCCUGACAGGGAAGCAUGUGGAGAAGCGCACCUCGGAGACGCCGCCUGAACGUGAUCGAUCGUAGGGCGCGCCGGGUCUGCCCGUUACAGCAGACGCAUAAGUUGGCUCGUGCAGGACACGGGCAACAAGAGUGGCACCGCGGGAGCAACGCUCUCGUCUCUUUU
RNAcentral lists this non-coding RNA (227 nucleotides) under Tumebacillus sp. RNAcentral describes it as "T-box sequence". It matches the Rfam family "T-box leader". From Rfam's summary of the family: Uncharged tRNA acts as the effector for transcription antitermination of genes in the T-box leader family. T-boxes are found upstream of many aminoacyl-tRNA synthetase genes and some amino acid biosynthetic genes usually in Gram-positive bacteria. The record is from RNAcentral. Lineage: Bacteria; Bacillati; Bacillota; Bacilli; Caryophanales; Alicyclobacillaceae.